CACCGGCGGCUCGAGUGGUGGCCACUUUUAUUGGGUCUAAAACGUCCGUAGCCGGCUUGGCAAGUCCCCUGGGAAAUCUGGCGGCUUAACCGUCAGGCGUCCAGAGGAUACUGCCAGGCUUGAGACCGGGAGAGGUGAGAGGUACCUCAGGGGUAGGGGUGAAAUCUUGUGAUCCCUGAGGGACCACCAGUGGCGAAGGCGUCUCACUAGAACGGGUCCGACGGUCAGGGACGAAAGCUGGGGGCACGAACCGG
Molecule: ribosomal RNA, 254 nt
Filed under: uncultured microorganism
Description: partial 16S ribosomal RNA
Rfam family: Archaeal small subunit ribosomal RNA
Source: RNAcentral